AUGGUGCAAAUCUUCUAUAAUAUGAGGCAUCCCAAGACCCGUCCUGUAUGCAUGUCUCUGAUUCCACGCUCAGAGUUUAAGCCACAGCCAUUGCUCACACCAGCUGAGCAGGAGCUGAGUCCAUCCACCAUCUCAGCAGGACUGGUUGGGUAAAGAACAUGGAAUAUAAAAUAAAUGAAAGUGACACACAUCA
RNAcentral lists this long non-coding RNA (193 nucleotides) under Coturnix japonica (Japanese quail). RNAcentral's name for it is "lncRNA (ENSCJPG00005017177.1)". The record is from RNAcentral. Lineage: Eukaryota; Metazoa; Chordata; Aves; Galliformes; Phasianidae.